This 359-nucleotide ribosomal RNA is filed under the name uncultured bacterium. RNAcentral describes it as "bacterial SSU rRNA". It matches the Rfam family "Bacterial small subunit ribosomal RNA", at positions 28 to 384 of the family's 1533-position model. The record is from RNAcentral.
GACGAACGCUGGCGGCGUGCUUAAUACAUGCAAGUCAACUGAACUUGAGGUAGUAAUAUUUCAAGGGAGGUGGCGCACGGGUGAGUAACACGUAGGUAAUCUGCCUUUAGGUCUGACAUAAUCCAGCGAAAGCUGGACUAAAAUCAGAUGAUGCAGCGGCUCGACAUCGAGACAGUUGUUAAACCUUCGGGGCCUAAAGAUGAGCCUGCGUCNGAUUAGGUAGUUGGCGGAGUAAGAGCCCACCAAGCCUUCGAUCAGUAGCUGGUCUGAGAGGAUGAUCAGCCACACUGGAACUGAGACACGGUCCAGACUCCUACGGGAGGCAGCAGUAAGGAAUAUUGCUCAAUGGCCGAAAGGCU